This 450-nucleotide ribosomal RNA is filed under the name uncultured bacterium. Its description in RNAcentral is "bacterial SSU rRNA". It matches the Rfam family "Bacterial small subunit ribosomal RNA", at positions 28 to 467 of the family's 1533-position model. The record is from RNAcentral.
GAUGAACGCUGGCGGCGUGCCUAAUACAUGCAAGUCGAGCGCAGAGAUCAGGAGCUUGCUCCUGUGAUCUGAGCGGCGGACGGGUGAGUAACACGUAGGCAACCUACCCAUCAGACCGGGAUAACCACGGGAAACCGUGGCUAAUACCGGAUGAACCUUUGAGACAUCAGUCUUAAAGUUGAAAGGCGCUUUUGGUGCCGUUGAUGGAUGGGCCUGCGGCGCAUUAGCUAGUUGGUGGGAUAGUGGCUCACCAAGGCGACGAUGCGUAGCCGACCUGAGAGGGUGAUCGGCCACACUGGGACUGAGACACGGCCCAGACUCCUACGGGAGGCAGCAGUAGGGAAUCUUCCGCAAUGGACGCAAGUCUGACGGAGCAACGCCGCGUGAGUGAAGAAGGGUUUCGGCUCGUAAAACUCUGUUGUUAAGGAAGAAUGACACAUGGAGUAACUG